CGCCUUUCUGCGACUGAGGCUAAGUGUAAUUCCUCGUCUACCUACGUUCAUCCGUAGGUGAGGAUUAUUAUUUGAAUACUUGCCCCCUCCUUUUGCUCGCCUUUCCGCGAUAGGGGCUGAUUGUGACUCCUCGUCUACCCGCGUUCAUCCGUGGGUGAGGACUAUUAUUUGAAUACUUGCCCCCUCCUUUUGCUCGCCUUUCCGCGAUAGGGGCUGAUUGUGACUCCUCG
RNAcentral lists this long non-coding RNA (230 nucleotides) under Zostera marina. RNAcentral's name for it is "long non-coding RNA (ZMAR_LNC005453)". The record is from RNAcentral. Lineage: Eukaryota; Viridiplantae; Streptophyta; Magnoliopsida; Alismatales; Zosteraceae.